UAACAAUUACUUCUUUUCACAAAAAAUGCUAUAAAAUGUAUCAUUAAUUCUUUCAUUAUUAGUGGGAACUGAAUUUUUAUUCGAUUGAAAAGAUAUUGACUCUUAUCUGAUUAAUAAGAUUGCAUGAGUUUAAUUUCAGUAACAAUCAAAUGCGAAUUAUCAGUGUUACAUUGAUGUGAGAAUAGAGAACCCAACUUCCUAAAAAAUCUGAAAGACCUUGGGAUGGGAAAACAAAGCGAACAGGAGAACUAAGAUGACAUACUGAUACAGAAGUGAGAGCAGUAGUACGAGAGGUCAAAGCUGAUCCAGAUGCAAGUGUUGUUAAAAAUCCCAAAGCAUCUCGCAAUAAUCAGCGAAGACAAUAAUUCCAAGAACAAUAAUGAAGACUCUUCAUAAACAUGUGUUACAUGACAGAACUCCAAGUAAGAAAUCAUUCAUCGCGAAAUCGAACCAGAAAAAAAAGUGUCCGCUGUUUGACAAAAAGAACCUUAAUGAGAAUUUAAAAUUUUGGAAUAUUUUAUUUAGUGAUGAGAAAAAAAAAAGUGAAUUGUUUGGCGCAUAGAAGCUUGCAAAAAUAUGGAGACCAAAGAAAGAAGAAUCCAUUAGUAAGUAUUCAGCUAAGACAAUUAAACACGGCUCUGUUAUGAUCUAGGGAUGAAUGGCGACAGCAGUAGUCGAUAAUUUAGUAUUUGUCGAAUCAACAAUGAACAAAAUGGAAUACCUAAAUAUUUUAAGAGACAAUGUUGACCCUAGUAUUGCGAAUUUGGGAUUGUCACGAAACUGGAUCUUUCAACAUCAUAAUGAUCCCAGACACGCAUCAAAGAUUAUGAAAGAAUGAUUACUCUAUCUUAUUGCAAAGACUUUGGGCUUUCCUCUACAGUCACCAGAUAUAAAGCCCUUUGAAAAUUGGUCUCAUCUAUGCCUCGAAAUAAUUGGUCGUAUCUAUGCCUAGACGAUUAAAGGCAGUGAUAAAAACUAAAGGUGACAAAAGCAGAUAAAAUAUUAAUAUUGCAGCUUUCUUUGUUCUCUGUUUAUUAAUUUUUUUUACUAAUGAAAUUUGAUGCUUUUCUAUUUUAGUUGAA
This is a long non-coding RNA of Argiope bruennichi, 1082 nucleotides long. RefSeq lists it as uncharacterized. The transcript is spliced from 3 exons. The record is from RefSeq and is a predicted model, not a curated record. NCBI's taxonomy places the organism in Eukaryota, Metazoa, Arthropoda, Arachnida, Araneae, Araneidae.